GCAAACUUGGUCAUUUAGAGGAAGUAAAAGUCGUAACAAGGUUUCCGUAGGUGAACCUGCGGAAGGAUCAUUACCGAGUGAGGGCCCCUCGCGGCCCAACCUCCCACCCUUGUCUCCAACACCUGUUGCUUCGGCGGGCCCACCGGGGCCACCCGGUCGCCGGGGGACAUCCUGUCCCCGGGCCCGCGCCCGCCGAGGCGCUCUGUGAACCCUGAUGAAGAUGGGCUGUCUGAGUGAUAUGAAAAUUGUCAAAACUUUCAACAAUGGAUCUCUUGGUUCCGGCAUCGAUGAAGAACGCAGC
This 301-nucleotide unclassified non-coding RNA is filed under the name uncultured fungus. RNAcentral's name for it is "partial contains small subunit ribosomal RNA, internal transcribed spacer 1, and 5.8S ribosomal RNA". The stretch from base 1 to 73 matches the Rfam family "Eukaryotic small subunit ribosomal RNA", at positions 1759 to 1831 of the family's 1831-position model. Lineage: Eukaryota; Fungi. The record is from RNAcentral.